CCUACGGGUGGCAGCAGUGGGGAAUAUUGGACAAUGGGGGCAACCCUGAUCCAGCCAUGCCGCGUGUGUGAAGAAGGCCCUCGGGUUGUAAAGCACUUUCAGUGAGGAAGAACGCCUGGUGGUUAAUACCCAUCAGGAAAGACAUCACUCACAGAAGAAGCACCGGCUAACUCCGUGCCAGCAGCCGCGGUAAUACGGAGGGUGCGAGCGUUAAUCGGGAUUACUGGGCGUAAAGCGCGCGUAGGUGGCUUGAUAAGCCGGUUGUGAAAGCCCCGGGCUCAACCUGGGAACGGCAUCCGGAACUGUCAAGCUAGAGUGCAGGAGAGGAAGGUAGAAUUCCCGGUGUAGCGGUGAAAUGCGUAGAGAUCGGGAGGAAUACCAGUGGCGAAGGCGGCCUUCUGGACUGACACUGACACUGAGGUGCGAAAGCGUGGGUAGCAAACAGGAUUAGAUACCCCUGUAGUC
Molecule: ribosomal RNA, 465 nt
Filed under: Vreelandella stevensii
Lineage: Bacteria; Pseudomonadati; Pseudomonadota; Gammaproteobacteria; Oceanospirillales; Halomonadaceae
Description: partial 16S ribosomal RNA
Rfam family: Bacterial small subunit ribosomal RNA
Source: RNAcentral